GGAAACACGACACCGAAGCCGUGGACUCGCAAUGCGAGUGGUAGAGGAGCAUUCUUAAAACCGACGAAGCUGUACCGAAAGGAGCAGUGGAGGGAUAAGAAGAGAGAAUGCCGGAAUGAGUAGCGAGAGAAAGGUGGGAAUCCUUUCGGCCGAAUAUCUAAGGUUUCCAGAGUAAAGCUGAUCUGCUCUGGGUAAGUCGGGGCCUAAGCACAGGUCGCAAGACGUAAGCGAUGGAUAACAGGUUUAGAUUCCUGUACCACGCAUUAUCAGAACUGUAGGGACGCAUGUGGAAAGCACGAGCCGGGAAUGGAAAGACCGGUACAAGCGGGGUAGGUGUACAACAGGCAAAUCCGUUGUAUAAUCCGAAGACGUGAUGUGGAGCGAAAUAAAGUAGUGAAGCGUGUGAGCCAUGUGCCGAGAAAAGCUGCUAUUGUGUAAUGCGUGCCCGUACCGUAAACCGACACAGGUGGAUGAGGAGAGAAUCCUAAGGCCGACGGAAGAAGCAUUGUUAAGGAAUUCGGCAAAAUGACCCCGUAACUUCGGGAGAAGGGGUGCCUGCGAGAGCAGGCCGCAGAGAAUAGGCUCAAGCAACUGUUUAGCAAAAACACAGGUCUAUGCGAAACCGAAAGGUGAAGUAUAUGGGCUGACGCCUGCCCGGUGCUGGAAGGUUAAGAGGAGAGGUUAGCGUAAGCGAAGCUUUGAAUUUAAGCCCCAGUAAACGGCGGCCGUAACAAUAACGGUCCUAAGGUAGCGAAAUUCCUUGUCGGGUAAGUUCCGACCCGCACGAAAGGCGUAAUGAUUUGAGCACUGUCUCGACAAUGCAUCCGGUGAAAUUGAAGUACCAGUGAAGAUGCUGGUUACCCGCGCCAGGACGGAAAGACCCCAUGGAGCUUUACUCCAGUUUGAUACUGGGAUUCGGUACUGCAUGUACAGGAUAGGUGGGAGACAAAGAAGGAUGGACGCCAGUCUGUCCGGAGUCGCUGUUGGGAUACCACCCCUGUAGUACUGGGCUUCUAACCAGUUGCCAUGAACUGGCAAUGGGACAAUGUCAGGCGGGGAGUUUGACUGGGGCGGUCGCCUCCGAAAGGGUAUCGGAGGCGCUCAAAGGUUCCCUCAGAAUGGUUGGAAACCAUUUGAAGAGUGCAAAGGCAGAAGGGAGCUUGACUGCGACACCGACGGGUGGAGCAGGUACGAAAGUAGGACUUAGUGAUCCGGUGGUAUAAAGUGGGAUUGCCAUCGCUCAACGGAUAAAAGCUACCCUGGGAUAACAGGCUUAUCACUCCCAAGAGUUCACAUCGACGGAGUGGUUUGGCACCUCGAUGUCGGCUCAUCGCAUCCUGGGGCUGUAGCAGGUCCCAAGGGUUGGGCUGUUCGCCCAUUAAAGCGGUACGCGAGCUGGGUUCAGAACGUCGUGAGACAGUUCGGUCCCUAUCCGGCGCGGGCGGAGGAUAUUUGAGAGGAGCUGUCCUUAGUACGAGAGGACCGGGAUGGACGGACCACUGGUGUAUCUGUUGUCGACCAACGGCAUGGCAGAGUAGCCAAGUCUGGAAGGGAUAAACGCUGAAGGCAUCUAAGCGUGAAGCCCCCCUCAAGAUGAGAUAUCCCUCCUUCGGGAGUAAGACCCCUUGAAGACUACAAGGUAGAUAGGGCAGAGGUGGAAGCAUGGCAACAUGUGGAGCUGACUGUUACUAAUAGGUCGAGGGCUUAAC
RNAcentral lists this ribosomal RNA (1709 nucleotides) under metagenome. RNAcentral's name for it is "bacterial LSU rRNA". It matches the Rfam family "Bacterial large subunit ribosomal RNA", at positions 1182 to 2925 of the family's 2925-position model. The record is from RNAcentral.